Molecule: small nucleolar RNA, 139 nt
Organism: Dioscorea cayenensis subsp. rotundata (Guinea yam)
Lineage: Eukaryota; Viridiplantae; Streptophyta; Magnoliopsida; Dioscoreales; Dioscoreaceae
Product: small nucleolar RNA Z247
Exons: 1
Source: RefSeq, a predicted model, not a curated record
CCUCUCCAAGAUGAUGAGGUCGUUACAUACAUCCUAGCUGGCCUUGGGUCAGAAUUUGACCCCCUGGUGACAUCCAUCAGCACCAGAAUUGAUCCUAUUAGUCUCAUUGAUUUAUAUGCCCACCUUCUGAGCUACGAAA